GACGAACGCUGGCGGCGUGCCUAAUACAUGCAAGUCGAGCGCAGGAAAUCGACGGAACCCUUCGGGGGGAAGUCGACGGAAUGAGCGGCGGACGGGUGAGUAACACGUAAAGAACCUGCCCUCAGGUCUGGGAUAACCACGAGAAAUCGGGGCUAAUACCGGAUGGGUCAUCGGACCGCAUGGUCCGAGGAUGAAAGGCGCUUCGGCGUCGCCGGGGGAUGGCUUUGCGGUGCAUUAGCUAGGUGGUGGGGUAAUGGCCCACCAAGGCGACGGUGCAUAGCCGACCUGAGAGGGUGAUCGGCCACACUGGGACUGAGACACGGCCCAGACUCCUACGGGAGUCAGCAGUAGGGAAUCUUCCACAAUGGACGAAAGUCUGAUGGAGCAACGCCGCGUGAACGAUGAAGGCCUUCGGGUCGUAAAGUUCUGUUGUAAGGGAAGAACAAGUGCCGCAGGCAAUGGCGGCACCUUGACGGUACCUUGCGAGAAAGCCACGGCUAACUACGUGCCAGCAGCCGCGGUAA
This 524-nucleotide ribosomal RNA is filed under the name uncultured bacterium. RNAcentral's name for it is "partial 16S ribosomal RNA". It matches the Rfam family "Bacterial small subunit ribosomal RNA", at positions 28 to 523 of the family's 1533-position model. The record is from RNAcentral.